RNAcentral lists this long non-coding RNA (503 nucleotides) under Mytilus galloprovincialis (Mediterranean mussel). Lineage: Eukaryota; Metazoa; Mollusca; Bivalvia; Mytilida; Mytilidae. The record is from RNAcentral.
CUCUAUUUGUAAUUAUAUUGUUGAGAAACUUGUGAUGAUUUCUUCCCCAAUAACUGUAAUAUCAAAGGACCUUUUGUCUUCAGGAAAACAAAAUAUUAGAAACAAAAAGGUUUUAAUGAAAUUUGGUGGAACACCUUUCCAAAAUAAACAGUAAAUGGUUUAUUUGAGGGGAAUUUAUAGUUAUAUUGGACGUGGAUAAUGAAAUGUAGUGUUUUCACAUACUUUGCUGUUGUUUUAUGUCUUAAAAUAGUGUCUCAUUUUAUCACUUUUCUCUCUCAAGCUUCAUUAAUGAUCUGACAGAACAAUUUGGGAUUGUUUUUUGGGUAGUCAUUUGCAUAACAAUUAACCUGUACUGGAGACGGGUACAAAAGGCAGGUGUACAUUUUAUAAUAUUUUAGUGAAGUAUUUUAUUGUAUUCUCUAGUUAAUAUUUAAGCAUUUUUGAAUAGAGAUGUAUUGUUAUUGAUAUUUUGUUUUGAAAUAAAGUGCUAAAUAGCUUAAAAA